Molecule: ribosomal RNA, 454 nt
Filed under: Desulfitobacterium enrichment culture clone BER5_Nt5
Lineage: Bacteria; Bacillati; Bacillota; Clostridia; Eubacteriales; Desulfitobacteriaceae
Description: bacterial SSU rRNA
Rfam family: Bacterial small subunit ribosomal RNA
Source: RNAcentral
UACUGUCUUUGGGGACGAACGGUACUUAUGUAAAUAAUGUAGCUACAUGACGGUACCUGAGGAGGAAGCCCCGGCUAACUACGUGCCAGCAGCCGCGGUAAUACAUAGGGGGCAAGCGUUGUCCGGAAUCAUUGGGCGUAAAGGGGGCGUAGGCGGGUAAUUAACUCUGGUGUGAAAGGCAAGGGCUCAACCCCUGAAAGGCACCGAAAACUGGUUAUCUUGAGGACAGGAGAGGAAAGCGGAAUUCCACGUGUAGCGGUGAAAUGCGUAGAUAUGUGGAGGAACACCAUUGGCGAAGGCGGCUUUCUGGACUGUAACUGACGCUGAGGCGCGAAAGCGUGGGGAGCAAACAGGAUUAGAUACCCUGGUAGUCCACGCCGUAAACGAUGAGUGCUAGGUGUAGAGGGUAUCGACCCCUUCUGUGCCGCAGUUAACACAAUAAGCACUCCGCCUG